UACCAGCACCCCGAGUGGUCGGGACGUUUAUUGGGCCUAGAGCAUCCGUAGCCGGUUCUACAAGUCUUCCGUUAAAUCCACCUGCUUAACAGAUGGGCUGCGGAAGAUACUAUGGAGCUAGGAGGCGGGAGAGGCAAGCGGUACUCGAUGGGUAGGGGUAAAAUCCGUUGAUCCAUUGAAGACCACCAGUGGCGAAGGCGGCUUGCCAGAACGCGCUCGACGGUGAGGGAUGAAAGCUGGGGGGCGACAAGCGU
Molecule: ribosomal RNA, 254 nt
Filed under: uncultured bacterium
Lineage: Bacteria
Description: partial 16S ribosomal RNA
Rfam family: Archaeal small subunit ribosomal RNA
Source: RNAcentral